RNAcentral lists this ribosomal RNA (253 nucleotides) under uncultured bacterium. RNAcentral's name for it is "partial 16S ribosomal RNA". It matches the Rfam family "Bacterial small subunit ribosomal RNA", at positions 524 to 776 of the family's 1533-position model. The record is from RNAcentral.
UACGUAGGGACCAAGCGUUGUUCGGAUUUACUGGGCGUAAAGGGCGCGUAGGCGGCAAUUCAAGUCAUCUGUGAAAUCUCCGGGCUUAACUCGGAACGGUCAGAUGAUACUGUCUUGCUAGAGUGCAGAAGGGGCAAUCGGAAUUCUUGGUGUAGCGGUGAAAUGCGUAGAUAUCAAGAGGAACACCUGAGAUGAAGACGGGUUGCUGGGCUGACACUGACGCUGAUGCGCGAAAGCCAGGGGAGCAAACGGG